UAACUUAGGGAUAAGGGGUGCCACCAUCAGGUGGCCGCAGAGAAUAGGCCCAAGCGACUGUUUACCAAAAACAUAGGUUUCUGCUAAGUCGCAAGACGAUGUAUAGGAGCUGACGCCUGCCCGGUGCGGGAAGGUUAAGGGGAUCUGUUAGAGUAAUCGAAGCAGUGAACUUAAGCCCCAGUAAACGGCGGCCGUAACUAUAACGGUCCUAAGGUAGCGAAAUUCCUUGUCGGGUAAGUUCCGACCCG
RNAcentral lists this ribosomal RNA (248 nucleotides) under Clostridioides difficile. Its description in RNAcentral is "partial 23S ribosomal RNA". It matches the Rfam family "Bacterial large subunit ribosomal RNA", at positions 1731 to 1990 of the family's 2925-position model. The record is from RNAcentral. Lineage: Bacteria; Bacillati; Bacillota; Clostridia; Peptostreptococcales; Peptostreptococcaceae.